This 359-nucleotide long non-coding RNA is filed under the name Danio rerio (zebrafish). RNAcentral's name for it is "si:ch211-122f10.5 (ENSDARG00000105682.2)". Lineage: Eukaryota; Metazoa; Chordata; Actinopteri; Cypriniformes; Danionidae. The record is from RNAcentral.
AAAGUAAUGUUUAAAAUGUACAGUAGGUGGCGGUCUCUGGUCGCUUCAGUAUCCACAAAGACAAACGAAGGAGAACAGGCAUAAAAGUGUGGUCUCUCACGCGGGCGGGCCUCAGUCGAUCCAUCUUCAAAACGCGGAUGUGCUGAAAUGAGCGGCUGGAAGAUCACACCAGAAGAAGAGGAACCUUAAGCUACAUUAACUUGCUGCUUUUUUGCUGUAUGUUGUGUUUGUUUAUUCAUAGGGAUAAGUUAAAACAUUCACUUAACUUUGUAGUCAAACAAUAAAUUAUGAUCUGUCUAGUAUACAAUUUCAUAACUGUGGUUUCAAUGCUGUGAAAAAAAUAAAAUGGCGAAAAUGCA